Molecule: ribosomal RNA, 253 nt
Filed under: uncultured bacterium
Lineage: Bacteria
Description: partial 16S ribosomal RNA
Rfam family: Bacterial small subunit ribosomal RNA
Source: RNAcentral
UACGUAGGGUGCGAGCGUUGUCCGGAAUUAUUGGGCGUAAAGAGCUUGUAGGCGGUCUGUCGCGUCUGCUGUGAAAAUCCGGGGCUCAACCCCGGACUUGCAGUGGGUACGGGCAGACUAGAGUGUGGUAGGGGAGACUGGAAUUCCUGGUGUAGCGGUGAAAUGCGCAGAUAUCAGGAGGAACACCGGUGGCGAAGGCGGAUCUCUGGGCCUGUCCUGACGCUGAGGCGCGAAAGCUAGGGGAGCGAACAGG